GUGUUCACUUCAGCAGCACAUAUACUAAAACUGGAAUGACACAGAGAAGAUUAACAUGGCCCCAUAGUCAAGGCUAUGGUUUUUCCUGUGGUCAUGUAUGGAUGU
Bison bison bison is the source of this 105-nucleotide small nuclear RNA. The record is from Ensembl. Lineage: Eukaryota; Metazoa; Chordata; Mammalia; Artiodactyla; Bovidae.